Molecule: ribosomal RNA, 1524 nt
Filed under: Tornabea scutellifera
Lineage: Eukaryota; Fungi; Ascomycota; Lecanoromycetes; Caliciales; Physciaceae
Description: eukaryotic LSU rRNA
Rfam family: Eukaryotic large subunit ribosomal RNA (bases 455-1524)
Source: RNAcentral
CCUGGGGUCUAACCGGCCCCAACUCUUCACCCGUGUCAAUCUUCCAAUGUUGCUUUGGCGGAUCGGAGUUCGCUCCCCACCGCCAGAGGCCCCAUCAAUUCCGUUAUCAGUGUCGUCCGAGUAUAUAUAUAAUCGUUAAAACUUUCAACAACGGAUCUCUUGGCUCUGGCAUCGAUGAAGAACGCAGCGAAAUGCGAUAAGUAAUGUGAAUUGCAGAAUUCCGUGAAUCAUCGAAUCUUUGAACGCACAUUGCGCCCUUUGGUAUUCCGAAGGGCAUGCCUGUUCGAGCGUCAUUACAACCCUCAAGCACAGCUUGGUAUUGGGUCUCGUCCCCGUGACGGGCCCGAAAUUCCGUGGCGGUCCAGCGAAGCUUGGAAGUGCAGACAAUAUUGCAUCUUUCUUCGCAAGCACUCCCUGCAGGCCGGCCAGACAACCCCCCAAUUUUUUCAAUGGUUGACCUCGGAUCAGGUAGGGAUACCCGCUGAACUUAAGCAUAUCAAUAAGCGGAGGAAAAGAAACCAACAGGGAUUGCCUCAGUAACGGCGAGUGAAGCGGCAACAGCUCAAAUUUGAAAUCUGGCCCUUUUGGGGUCCGAGUUGUAAUUUGUAGAGGGUGUUUCGGGCGAGGCGCCGGCCUAAGUUCUUUGGAACAGGACGUCAUAGAGGGUGAGAAUCCCGUAUGCGGCCGGUGACCGACCCCAUGUGAAACCCCUUCGACGAGUCGAGUUGUUUGGGAAUGCAGCUCAAAAUGGGUGGUAUAUUUCAUCUAAAGCUAAAUACCGGCCAGAGACCGAUAGCGCACAAGUAGAGUGAUCGAAAGAUGAAAAGCACUUUGGAAAGAGAGUUAAACAGUACGUGAAAUUGUUGAAAGGGAAGCGCUUGCAACCAGAUCCGUCUCCGGGUGAUCAGCCUCCGUUUUCGGGGGUGCACUCGCCCGGUGAUGGGCCAGCAUCGGUUCGGGCGGUCGGAUAAAGGCCAGAGGAAUGUAGCUUCCUUCGGGGAGUGUUAUAGCCUCGGUGCCAUGCGGCCAGCCGGGACCGAGGAUCGCGCUUCGGCUAGGAUGCUGGCGUAAUGGUUGUAAGCGGCCCGUCUUGAAACACGGACCAAGGAGUGUAAUAUUUAUGCGAGUGUUUGGGUGUUAAACCCAUACGCGGAAUGAAAGUGAACGGAGGUGAGAACCCAUUAGGGCGCAUCAUCGACCGAUCCGGAAGUUUACGGAUGGAUUUGAGUACGAGCAUAACUAUUGCGACCCGAAAGAUGAUGAACUAUACUUGAAUAGGGUGAAGCCAGGGGAAACCCUGGUGGAGGCUCGCAGCGGUUCUGACGUGCAAAUCGAUCGUCAAAUUUGGGUAUAGGGGCGAAAGACUAAUCGAAUCAUCUAGUAGCUGGUUCCUGUCGAAGUUUCCCUCAGGAUAGCAGUAACGUUUUCAGUUUUAUGAGGUAAAGCGAAUGAUUAGAGGCCUUGGGGAUGCAACAUCCUUAACCUAUUCUCAAACUUUAAAUAUGUAAGAAGUCCUUGUUACUU